CUGAUCCUACGGGAGGCAGCAGUGAGGAAUAUUGGUCAAUGGUCGGGAGACUGAACCAGCCAAGCCGCGUGAGGGAUGAAGGUACAGAGUAUCGUAAACCUCUUUUGUCAGGGAACAAAGGCGGGGACGCGUCCCCGGAUGAGUGUACCUGAAGAAAAAGCAUCGGCUAACUCCGUGCCAGCAGCCGCGGUAAUACGGAGGAUGCGAGCGUUAUCCGGAUUUAUUGGGUUUAAAGGGUGCGCAGGCGGUCUGUUAAGUCUUAUGUGAAAGCCUUCGGCUUAACCGG
Molecule: ribosomal RNA, 286 nt
Filed under: uncultured bacterium
Lineage: Bacteria
Description: partial 16S ribosomal RNA
Rfam family: Bacterial small subunit ribosomal RNA
Source: RNAcentral